Molecule: ribosomal RNA, 253 nt
Filed under: uncultured bacterium
Lineage: Bacteria
Description: partial 16S ribosomal RNA
Rfam family: Bacterial small subunit ribosomal RNA
Source: RNAcentral
UACGUAGGGCGCAAGCGUUGUCCGGAAUCAUUGGGCGUAAAGCGCGUGUAGGCGGUCCGGUAAGUCCGCUGUGAAAGUCGGGGGCUCAACCCUCGGAUGCCGGUGGAUACUGUCGGGCUUGAGUACGGAAGAGGCGAGUGGAAUUCCUGGUGUAGCGGUGAAAUGCGCAGAUAUCAGGAGGAACACCAAUUGCGAAGGCAGCUCGCUGGGACGUUACUGACGCUGAGACGCGAAAGCGUGGGGAGCAAACAGG